RNAcentral lists this long non-coding RNA (343 nucleotides) under Dromaius novaehollandiae (emu). RNAcentral describes it as "lncRNA (ENSDNVG00000000886.1)". Lineage: Eukaryota; Metazoa; Chordata; Aves; Casuariiformes; Dromaiidae. The record is from RNAcentral.
CACCGCGUCCCUUCUCGCGAGACUAGGAGCCCGCCAAAACGCCUCGUGGCGGCUGGCUGCGCCGCUAUUGCCGCGUGGAGCGGCCAGUGCGGGGUGAGGCGUCCUGCUAACGCCGCGAGGAAAGAAGGGUGUGGGAUCCCCGUGUAUCUCUGGAAGGACAGAAAAUUAAACAAAAGAACAGAAUACACUCUGGAUUUUCUUCCUAUGUACAGUCUACACUGAUUGAAGUGCUGAAUCCACUCAUAGGACCAGCUUACUGUCUUCCUCUCAGUUCUUCAGAGAAUGAAUGAAAAUACAGCGUUGGAUUUGUCUGCUUGGAUUGGAGUACUUUUGAUAAAAUAUC